CAAAACUAUGGCGUGGUAUGGAACGUAGUUCUACCAUGAUGGCGACGCCGUGGUGAAAGCAAGCCUUUCCACACUCGUCCAACGCGGAACGCGAAGGUUUAACCCGAGGGAGUCGCUGCGAGGAUUUUGCUUUUACGAGGCUCCAUCCAGCAUCCCUAAAAUACACCUGCUCUGGCAGGAAGGACGCAGAACCCCGGCCCGAUGAACUGAACUUGGUGGAAGCAAGUGACACUUAAC
Long non-coding RNA from Syngnathoides biaculeatus (alligator pipefish), 237 nucleotides. RefSeq lists it as uncharacterized. The record is from RefSeq and is a predicted model, not a curated record. The transcript has 3 exons. NCBI's taxonomy places the organism in Eukaryota, Metazoa, Chordata, Actinopteri, Syngnathiformes, Syngnathidae.